CUUGGUGGGUUAAAUGAAUUAGCAAUACUUUUUUUAGAAAUUAAUUUAAAAUACAAAUUACAUUAGUAUUUUUUUUAUUAUGGUCUAAAUGAAAAAUAAUAUGUUUUAAAUUUAUUGGUUGAAAUUUGCCACGUCACCUUUUUCUCGGGAGAUUUAUGGAUGUGGCUCUAAUGAGUGCCACCUUUACACAAGAAGUUGCACAAAUUUUGAUUUUCCAUGAGUUACUUAUGACUACGCCAACCAACUCUCUGCAAGAAACUAUACCAUGUGUCAAUUUCUAUGUGGCAAAUAACAUACGCUAUGCUUUACACGUGUAUACUCUCAUGCCCCACUAAAAUACAAAUUAAAAAAAAAUCCUUAAAUUUCCAGUAUUGUAAAUUUUACCCAUGGACUUAAAAAAUAACAAUUAUUACGUCAACUAUUUAUUUCUAAAAUUAAGAUAUUAAUUAAUUAAUUAUAUAACCUCUAUGAGACGUAAGUGUGAACUGAAAAGGAAAUUUGUAUGAUUACUUGGCGGAUUCUAGGGCUAACAAGCAAGCAAAGAUUCUAAAAAAGAAUCAUUGAGUUCAGUUAAAGAUUUUAUUUUUAGGCUUUAGUCAUUUUAGCUUAAUUUAACUCUAUAAAUUUCAAUGACCUCUCUCUUCAUUUUCAUCUCAAAAUUUUCUUUCGCCAUUAUAUUUUUUCCUUCUCUUCAUAGUUAAAGAAAUUAAAAUUUUCUCCUGAUAAGGUAUCUCUUGUUUCAAUUUGCUUGAAAUGCAUUAAAGAAAUAGACUGAUGUGUUUGCUGGGGAAUUGACAGAGAGAAGAAAUGGGAAAGAACUCGUACGAGGAGGCCAUUGAAGCUCUGAAGAAACUCCUCAAGUAAGUUUUGAAAGAAAGCCUUUUCAUCUCAAAAUCAACUGAACUUAACCCUUCAAUUCUUUUGCUUGUUUACUGAAGUUUGUUGGGUUGAUUGCCAGUGAGAAGGGAGAAUUGAAGCCCACUGCAGCAGCCAAAGUAGAGCAGAUAACAGCUGAGUUACAAUCUGGUUCAUCUGGCAGCAUACCCUUCAAUCCAAUUGAGAGAAUGAAAGAAGGCUUCAUUCACUUCAAGAAAGAGAAAUAUGAGUCUGUUUGUUUAUGCAUUUGCUCCCUUAAAUUUCACUAAUUUUGUUAGCUGCUACUUAAAAAAAGUUUUUAUGCCUCUUUUCUGCAGCAAGAAUCCAGGAUUGUACACUGAACUUUCCAAAGGUCAGAGCCCCAAGGUAUAUACAUUCACCAUAGGGACAACUUGUUAAACAUAUACGCAGUGACGGAUCUAAGGUGGCAAGCAAUAGUUGUUUAAUUUUCAAUUUCUUGCAGUUUAUGGUUUUUGCAUGCUCGGAUUCCCGGGUUUGCCCAUCACACGUGCUGGAUUUUCAACCAGGGGAAGCUUUCGUGGUCCGAAAUGUUGCUAACAUGGUCCCACCGUAUGAUCAGGUUGGUUUUAACUUAUUAAUUUUUCUUAGUACACCAUUUACUUUUGUCCUAUUUGAUUUAGAUAAGUUGAUUAAUUGAGUUUUGGGUUUUUAUAAUCCAACAGGUUAAAUACGCAGGGAUUGGUUCUGCAGUUGAAUAUGCAGUUUUGCAUCUCAAGGUGAACAGACAUACUAACUUUUAUGUCUUAAUAAUAUAUUUUUUUUAAUUUAUUUCGGCAGAAAGUGUUAAUUAAUCGAUUAAUCUUCCACAGGUGGAGAACAUUGUUGUGAUUGGUCACAGUGCCUGUGGUGGAAUCAAGGGGCUUAUGACCUUCCCAUUUGAUGGAAACAAAUCUACGUAAGGCUUUAAUCUUAACAUUACCCAUGAAUAUAUGCACGAAAUUUCUUAUGAAUACUUAAACAAAUCAUUCAAAUUGAACAAAAAUUGCAGUGACUUCAUAGAAGAUUGGGUCAGCAUUGGUCUGCCUGCCAAGGCGAAGGUGCUUGCUGAACAUGGAGGUGCAGAUUUGCCAGAACUCUGCACACACUGC
Molecule: long non-coding RNA, 1985 nt
Filed under: Manihot esculenta (cassava)
Lineage: Eukaryota; Viridiplantae; Streptophyta; Magnoliopsida; Malpighiales; Euphorbiaceae
Description: long non-coding RNA (MESC_LNC009054)
Source: RNAcentral